GACGAACGCUGGCGGCAUGCCUAAUACAUGCAAGUCGAGCGAACAGAUGAAGUGCUUGCACUUCUGACGUUAGCGGCGAGCGGGUGAGUAACACGUAAGGAAUCUACCUAUAAGCGGGGGUUAACAUUCGGAAACGGGUACUAAUACCGCAUAAUAUCUUCUUCCGCAUGGAAGAAGAUUGAAAGACGGCUCUGCUGUCACUUAUAGAUGACCUUGCGGUGCAUUAGUUAGUUGGUGGGGUAAUGGCCUACCAAGACGAUGAUGCAUAGCCGACCUGAGAGGGUGAUCGGCCACAUUGGGACUGAGACACGGCCCAAACUCCUACGGGAGGCAGCAGUAGGGAAUCUUCCGCAAUGGGCGAAAGCCUGACGGAGCAAUGCCGCGUGAGUGAAGAAGGCCUUCGGGUCGUAAAACUCUGUUAUAAGAGAAGAACAAAUUGUAGAGUAACUGCUACAGUCUUGACGGUAUCUUAUCAGAAAGCCACGGCUAACUACGUGCCAGCCGCCGCAGUAA
This 513-nucleotide ribosomal RNA is filed under the name uncultured bacterium. Its description in RNAcentral is "partial 16S ribosomal RNA". It matches the Rfam family "Bacterial small subunit ribosomal RNA", at positions 28 to 523 of the family's 1533-position model. The record is from RNAcentral.